This 271-nucleotide ribosomal RNA is filed under the name Pantoea agglomerans. Its description in RNAcentral is "partial 23S ribosomal RNA". It matches the Rfam family "Bacterial large subunit ribosomal RNA", at positions 1991 to 2261 of the family's 2925-position model. The record is from RNAcentral. Lineage: Bacteria; Pseudomonadati; Pseudomonadota; Gammaproteobacteria; Enterobacterales; Erwiniaceae.
CACGAAAGGCGCAACGAUCUGGGCACUGUCUCAACGAGAGACUCGGUGAAAUUAUAGUACCUGUGAAGAUGCAGGUUACCCGCGACAGGACGGAAAGACCCCGUGGAGCUUUACUGCAGCCUGAUAUUGAAUGUUGGUACAGCUUGUACAGGAUAGGUAGGAGCCUUGGAAACCGGAGCGCCAGCUUCGGUGGAGGCAUCGGUGGGAUACUACCCUGGCUGUAUUGACCUUCUAACCCGCCGCCCUUAUCGGGCGGGGAGACAGUGUCAGG